CAACUUUUAACAACAGAUCUCUUAGUUCUAGUAUUAAUAAAGAACGCAGCGAAAUGCG
This 58-nucleotide ribosomal RNA is filed under the name Phaeosphaeria halima. RNAcentral describes it as "5.8S ribosomal RNA". Lineage: Eukaryota; Fungi; Ascomycota; Dothideomycetes; Pleosporales; Phaeosphaeriaceae. The record is from RNAcentral.